UAAAAGGUCCUUUUCAGGACCAAUGAAAAUUAUUCAAACUAUUGUC
This is a non-coding RNA of Aedes albopictus (Asian tiger mosquito), 46 nucleotides long. The record is from Rfam. NCBI's taxonomy places the organism in Eukaryota, Metazoa, Arthropoda, Insecta, Diptera, Culicidae.